This 246-nucleotide ribosomal RNA is filed under the name uncultured bacterium. RNAcentral's name for it is "partial 16S ribosomal RNA". It matches the Rfam family "Bacterial small subunit ribosomal RNA", at positions 91 to 334 of the family's 1533-position model. The record is from RNAcentral.
CCUAGUGGCGAACGGGUGAGUAACGCGUUGGUGACCUGCCCCGAAGAGAGGGAUAACAGCUUGAAAAGGCUGCUAAUACCUCAUGUGAUCUUUAGGAUUAGAUGCCUUUUGAUUAAAUGGAUUUAUUCGCUUCGGGAGGGGCCUGCGUCCCAUCAGCUAGUUGGUAGGGUAAAAGCCUACCAAGGCUAUGACGGGUAGGGGACCUGAGAGGGUGACCCCCCACACUGACACUGAAACACGGGUCAG